GGGCCUGUAGCCCAGUCUGGUAGAGCGCCUGCCUUGCAAGCAGGAGGUCUCGGGUUCAAAUCCCGACGGGUCCA
This 74-nucleotide transfer RNA is filed under the name Nitrosarchaeum sp. RNAcentral describes it as "tRNA-Ala". It matches the Rfam family "tRNA". Rfam says of the family: Transfer RNA (tRNA) molecules are approximately 80 nucleotides in length. Their secondary structure includes four short double-helical elements and three loops (D, anti-codon, and T loops). The record is from RNAcentral. Lineage: Archaea; Thermoproteati; Nitrososphaerota; Nitrososphaeria; Nitrosopumilales; Nitrosopumilaceae.